GACGUAGGGCGCGAGCGUUGUCCGGAUUUAUUGGGCGUAAAGAGCUCGUAGGCGGCUUGUUGCGUCGACUGUGAAAACCCGCGGCUUAACUGCGGGCUUGCAGUUGAUACGGGCAGGCUAGAGUUCGGUAGGGGAGACUGGAAUUCCUGGUGUAGCGGUGAAAUGCGCAGAUAUCAGGAGGAACACCGGUGGCGAAGGCGGCCCCCUGGUUGGAUACUGACGCUGAUACGCGAAAAGCGUAGGGAGCAAACAGG
Molecule: ribosomal RNA, 254 nt
Filed under: uncultured bacterium
Lineage: Bacteria
Description: partial 16S ribosomal RNA
Rfam family: Bacterial small subunit ribosomal RNA
Source: RNAcentral